RNAcentral lists this unclassified non-coding RNA (463 nucleotides) under Athalia rosae (coleseed sawfly). Its description in RNAcentral is "misc RNA ENSAEAG00005011369.1". Lineage: Eukaryota; Metazoa; Arthropoda; Insecta; Hymenoptera; Athaliidae. The record is from RNAcentral.
CACAUCGAUAUCGAGAAAUACAGCAGCUUACAUUCCGGCGUCACAAAUCGAGGGUUCCUAAUCCCACAGGCAGAAACCAACGUCGAAUGAUCCGACACCACCACCCGGAUAUUACAAGAGGACACUUUCCCUCCUCGCACGCCACAAACUUGAGUGUUCCUUCCCAAUCCUACUCGAUUCUAGAAGCUGUAACAGAAUCAGAGGCAGAAAGACUCGCCGACACAAAAGUCUUACGCCGAUACUUCUCGUCGUUACACAUCGCAGUCUGCAAAAUCCAACCUAUUUUGCCCGAAGUUCAUCCAUACCAAAGGAUCCUACUUCCAUAGGUGUACCGACACCCACAAAUUCAUCGGCACUACCUAUGCAAAUCCGUGAAAGGAGGUACCUCUACAGAAACGUAACAAAAGCAAAGCUCCUCUUUAAUCCCACCCGCUCAACAAAGAUCCAAGAACUCGGAACGGCG